This 460-nucleotide ribosomal RNA is filed under the name uncultured bacterium. Its description in RNAcentral is "partial 16S ribosomal RNA". It matches the Rfam family "Bacterial small subunit ribosomal RNA", at positions 338 to 795 of the family's 1533-position model. The record is from RNAcentral.
CCUACGGGAGGCAGCAGUGAGGAAUAUUGGUCAAUGGACGAGAGUCUGAACCAGCCAAGUAGCGUGAAGGAUGACUGCCCUAUGGGUUGUAAACUUCUUUUAUAAAGGAAUAAAACGAGGCACGUGUGCCUUUUUGCAUGUACUUUAUGAAUAAGGAUCGGCUAACUCCGUGCCAGCAGCCGCGGUAAUACGGAGGAUCCGAGCGUUAUCCGGAUUUAUUGGGUUUAAAGGGGGCGUAGACGGGUUGUUAAGUUAGAUGUGAAAUUUCGCGGCUCAACCCUAGAAUUGCCUGUGAUACUGGCGGUCUAGAGUACAGUUGAGGUAAGCGGAAUUCGUGGUGUAGCGGUGAAAUGCUUAGAUAUCACGCAGAACCCCGAUUGCGAAGGCAGCUUACUAAACUGUAACUGACAUUGAUGCUCGAAAGUGUGGGGAUCAAACAGGAUUAGAUACCCGAGUAGUC